UAAGUUCUCCCAGGGCGCUGCCGGAGCCCUGCCGGCUAAGGGAUGGGGAAACAAACAGGUGGGGCUGUAAUCUCGUAAUUCCCAGUCAAAAGAGGUAGGAAGGGAUGCUGAGGACCCAGGGAUACUGAUGAUUGCGCUGACCCAGAAGUGGCCAUCUUUGUGGAAACCAGGCUGGAGUGCAAUGGUGUGAUCUCAGCUCACUGCAACCUCCACCUCCAGGGUUCAAGCAAUUCUACUGCCUCAGCCUCCCGAGUAGCUGGCAUUACAGGCGCGUGCAACCACGCCCAGCUAAUUUUUUGCAUUUUUAGUAGAGACGGGGUUUCACCGUGUUGGCUAGGCUGGUCUCAAACUCCUGAUCUCAGGUCAUCUGCCUGCCUCAGCCUCCCGAAGUGCUGCAAUCACAGGCAUGAGCCACCUCGCCUGUUUUUUAAAAAGCCUAAGCCUGUUGACCCCAGGCUCCACAAUCUUCAAUUUUCCGAGCCUCAGUUUUUUUUUUCACGAGUAAAAUAGAGGUAAUACCUACCUCACAGAGAUUUUGUGAAGAUUAAAUGAAACAGUGUCUGGACCAUAAGUGCCCAAUAUAAAGUCAUCCAGAGUAAAGUCAUAGGGCUCAAAGUCUUUCCGGAAGCGGCGAGCCAGGGUCUCCUCGUCUUCCUUGCUGAUCUGACACUGCCUCCAGUCAGACUUAUCAGGAACAUUAAGGAUGGCUUCACUGGCCAGGACCUCCCUGCAGAAAUAGCACAAAGAAGUCAAAAUGGAAACUAUCAGCCUGAGCUCUCCUCAACAUCACCCAAAGAAGGGGACUCAGGCCCACAUAACAGCAGCACAAGCCCAAUGUCAACAAAAC
RNAcentral lists this non-coding RNA (847 nucleotides) under Pan troglodytes (chimpanzee). Lineage: Eukaryota; Metazoa; Chordata; Mammalia; Primates; Hominidae. The record is from RNAcentral.